Molecule: transfer RNA, 72 nt
Filed under: bacterium
Lineage: Bacteria
Description: tRNA-Gly
Rfam family: tRNA
About the family: Transfer RNA (tRNA) molecules are approximately 80 nucleotides in length. Their secondary structure includes four short double-helical elements and three loops (D, anti-codon, and T loops).
Source: RNAcentral
GCGGGUAUCGUAUAGUGGCUUUUACACCUCGUUGCCAACGAGGAAACACGGGUUCGACUCCCGUUACCCGCU